Molecule: ribosomal RNA, 492 nt
Filed under: uncultured bacterium
Lineage: Bacteria
Description: partial 16S ribosomal RNA
Rfam family: Bacterial small subunit ribosomal RNA
Source: RNAcentral
AGUGAACGCUGGCGGUAUGCCUAACACAUGCAAGUCGAACGGCAGCACAGUAAGAGCUUGCUCUUACGGGUGGCGAGUGGAGGACGGGUGAGGAAUACAUCGUAAUCUACUUUUUCGUGGGGGAUAACGUAGGGAAACUUACGCUAAUACCGCAUACGACCUACGUGUGAAAGCAGGGGAUCUUCGGACCUUGCGCGAUUGAAUGAGCCGAUGUCGGAUUAGCUAGUUGGCGGGGUAAAGGGCCACCAAGGCGGCGAUCCGUAGCUGGUCUGAGAGGAUGAUCAGCCACACUGGAAGAGAGACACGGCCCAGACACCUACGGGAGGCAGCAGUGGGGAAUAUUGGAGAAUGGGGGCAUGCCUGAUCCAGCAAUACCGAGUGAGUGAAGAAGGACCUAGGGUGGUAAAGCGAUGUUGUUGGGAAAGAAAAGCAGCAGGUUAAUACGCCGCUGUUCUGACGGUAACUAAAGAAUAAGCACCGGCUAACUUCGUG